This is a long non-coding RNA of Myotis brandtii (Brandt's bat), 937 nucleotides long. RefSeq lists it as uncharacterized. The transcript is spliced from 2 exons. Lineage: Eukaryota; Metazoa; Chordata; Mammalia; Chiroptera; Vespertilionidae. The record is from RefSeq and is a predicted model, not a curated record.
GAGGAUUCGUGCUGCGCAGGCGCGCGAGCGGGGCCGGCUUUUGAGUGGUGUGGGAGUUGUGCUCGUGACCUCCUCCUCCGUGUCCCUUCACCUUGAAGAGUCUCUCCUUGACGCCGGGGCUUCCGUUCUUUUCCAUUUAACCCCUGAAAGGUAACCUAUGAAGGCCCCGCCCCCAAGACCCAGGUCCAGCAAGUGCCAGAGGAACCCACAGCACACGUGUUGAACGAGUUCCCGAGUGAAGAGCUUUUUUCUGAUUUUUUAAAAUUUUAUUUUUGUGAUAGAACUGAUUCAUUCACAUAAAAAUACAUUAUGAUUUCUUAAACCUCUUUAGGCCAUCCCAAAUACAUUCACAAAUAAUUUAUUUUUGUCAAAACCUGUAUCUCAGUCUUUGGUUCAGAAAUGCAAUUGCCGCUUUGUGAGCUGCCUCGUGGAGGUAAAGGGUCCCCACUGCAGACCAGAUUCACACUAGGAUUUGCUUCCUGUCCUUGGUCCCCCACUAACCAACCAAACCUUUGGCUUCUGGUGGCCAGUUGACCUGUGGUGCUUUACACCCCGUCUCCUGUUAACCUGCCUGGUGGUGCUUCUGGUGAGGCAGAGGUACUCCCAUCCCAGGGCUGUAAUGGCCCGGGUAAUCUUAGCUCCUUGAGUUCUUGUUCACUUCUUACUUGGGGACCAGGAAUUGCAACCAUUGGAAGUGGGGGCAGCUUGGAUGCUGUUUGUUCAUGGCUACAGGCCUGGAAGGGGAGCAGGCAGUGUGGGACGGCCCCUCCUUAUGCCCCCCACUAGCUCUAGCUGGCCCCAUGCCGCCCCCACCCACAGCUUUACUCCUGGUUCUCUUUGCGGUUCCUAGGGAGCAUUCCCUGGGGUUAAAUAGAUGCUUUGCUUUAGCCAGUUAUUUUUGUUGUUUUCAGAGAGGGAGAGGGAGAGAUAGAAACAU